Molecule: ribosomal RNA, 544 nt
Filed under: uncultured Alphaproteobacteria bacterium
Lineage: Bacteria; Pseudomonadati; Pseudomonadota; Alphaproteobacteria
Description: bacterial SSU rRNA
Rfam family: Bacterial small subunit ribosomal RNA
Source: RNAcentral
AAUACGCCCUUACGGGGAAAGAUUUAUCGCCGAAAGAUUGGCCCGCGUCUGAUUAGCUAGUUGGUGAGGUAAUGGCUCACCAAGGCUUCGAUCAGUAGCUGGUUUGAGAGAACGACCAGCCACACUGGGACUGAGACACGGCCCAGACUCCUACGGGAGGCAGCAGUGGGGAAUCUUGGACAAUGGAGGAAACUCUGAUCCAGCGAUGCCGCGUGAGUGAUGAAGGCCUUCGGGUUGUAAAACUCUUUUACCAGGGAAGAUAAUGACUGUACCUGGAGAAUAAGCCCCGGCUAACUUCGUGCCAGCAGCCGCGGUAAUACGAAGGGGGCUAGCGUUGUUCGGAAUUACUGGGCGUAAAGCGUGCGCAGGCGGUUUUUCAAGUCAGGGGUGAAAGCCCAGAGCUCAACUCUGGAAUUGCCUUUGAAACUGACGAACUAGAGUACGAGAGAGGUGAGUGGAAUUCCCAGNGUAGAGGUGAAAUUCGUAGAUAUUGGGAANAACACCGGUGGCGAAGGCGGCUCACUGGCUCGUAACUGACGCUCNG